CCAGGCAACAAGAGGGGAUUUCCCUCAAACCCUAAAAUUCACAAAAAUCCAUCAAUUGAAGGUGCAAAUCAAGUCCGAAUUGAAAUCUGAAUAUAGGGUUGUGAUCAUCUUGACUAAGAGAUUGUAAGGCAACACGAGUGAGGCGUCGGGAAGUCAAGCCGGUGCGGACGCUCGCCAAAAGGGAAAGCUCUAAGUAAGAAGAUGUCGGGAGGUGCUAGUGACAAUGUUCUAUCCCUCACUACCGACGAGUUGAAAGAGAAGAUUGCCGAGGAAGUUGGUAGGGC
This is a long non-coding RNA of Helianthus annuus (common sunflower), 284 nucleotides long. RefSeq lists it as uncharacterized. The record is from RefSeq and is a predicted model, not a curated record. NCBI's taxonomy places the organism in Eukaryota, Viridiplantae, Streptophyta, Magnoliopsida, Asterales, Asteraceae. The transcript has 3 exons.